Nymphaea colorata (pocket water lily) is the source of this 779-nucleotide long non-coding RNA. RefSeq lists it as uncharacterized. The transcript is spliced from 3 exons. NCBI's taxonomy places the organism in Eukaryota, Viridiplantae, Streptophyta, Magnoliopsida, Nymphaeales, Nymphaeaceae. The record is from RefSeq and is a predicted model, not a curated record.
GCCCUUCGCUGCUGUUCGACUGCAUCAUCUUGUCGAAUAGAACUGGUGCUAUCUAAAAGGCGUUGCUGUAUAUGAUGGGUUGGCAUUCGCAAUCAAACGUCUUCCGGAUUGCCCAUUUUCGGAGAAGCAACUUCUUACGAGAUGGGCAGGCUCGAGCAGCUCAGGCACCCCAAUUUUAUGCCAUUGUUGGAUCUACUGCAUCAAUGAGGAAAAAAGGCCUUUAAGCACGCUAUGAUCGGUGCAUGUGAUUAUUCGCAUAUAACUGAUAGUGCUUAGAGUUGGGUUUAGUGGAGCUUCAUCAAAUGAAAGUUAAUGGAUUCAUAUGCUUAUUUCCACAAGCUCUGUAAAUGACACACUCCUGGCUAAUAUUGAAAUAUGACACUUGCAAACUUGUUCAAUGGAAUUUGCUACUGAUGGAAGAACAUUCUUAUUAUGGGGAGGGUGCAUGAUGAUGAUUUCAGGAAUGACAGACAUGGGUUGGUUACUUCUCUUCGAGAUGGUGGAUACUCUGAUGACAUGACCCUUGCUUCUAUAGCAGGUAGUUUUGUGCUUUUGGGUUCUGUUCUUUAGCAGAUGUUUGGAGGAUUCCUUCUGUCUGCAAAUCUAUUCCCUCAUGAAGAACAUCCAGAUCCACCAUAUUGGCACCUUUGUUACUUGUGAAAUGGGGUCAUAGCCCUAAAGUUGGUCUGACUGAUUCAACAAGAUCAGUUAGUCGUGAUAUGAUCCACUUGUGCUUGAUCUGUGGACAAAAAAAGAAUCAAUUUUGACCUUUUUUCUUA